CUACGGGGCGCAGCAGUCGGGAAACUUCUACAAUGCGCGCAAGCGUGAUAGAGCAAGCCAGAGUGCGAUUCUAUAAUUGAAUCGCUUUUGUGAGAUGUAAAAAGUCUCACGAAUAAGGACUGGGAAAGACUGGUGCCAGCCGCCGCGGGUAAUACCAGCAGUUCAAGUGGCAGCCGGUUUUAUUGGGUCUAAAACAUCCGUAGCUCGUCGAGUCAGCCUCUUGUGAAAUCUGGCCUCUCAAGGGUCAGGCGCGCAAGGGGUACUGCUUGGCUAGAGACCGGGAGACGUAAGAAGUACGCAUAGGGUAGCGGUCAAAUGCGUUGAUCCUUUGUGGACUAACGAUAGCGAAGGCAUCUUACGAGAACGGAUCUGACAGUGAGGGAUGAAGGCUAGGGGCGCAAAACGGAUUAGAUACCCUGGUAGUC
RNAcentral lists this ribosomal RNA (425 nucleotides) under uncultured archaeon. Its description in RNAcentral is "partial 16S ribosomal RNA". It matches the Rfam family "Archaeal small subunit ribosomal RNA", at positions 323 to 746 of the family's 1478-position model. The record is from RNAcentral.